RNAcentral lists this ribosomal RNA (506 nucleotides) under uncultured bacterium. RNAcentral's name for it is "partial 16S ribosomal RNA". It matches the Rfam family "Bacterial small subunit ribosomal RNA", at positions 28 to 523 of the family's 1533-position model. The record is from RNAcentral.
GAUGAACGCUAGCUACAGGCUUAACACAUGCAGGUCGAGGGGUAACGAGAGGAAAGCUUGCUUUCCUUGUCGACGACCGGCGCACGGGUGAGUAGCGCGUAUCCAACCUGCCCCCAACUAGGGAAUAACCUUGCGAAAGUAAGACUAAUACCCUAUAAUUUCCUCAGAUGUCAUCUGACGAGGAAUAAAGAUUUAUCGGUUGUGGAUGGGGAUGCGUCUGAUUAGCUUGUUGGCGGGGUGACGGCCCACCAAGGCAACGAUCAGUAGGGGUUCUGAGAGGAAGGUCCCCCACAUUGGAACUGAGACACGGUCCAAACUCCUACGGGAGGCAGCAGUGAGGAAUAUUGGUCAAUGGGCGGAAGCCUGAACCAGCCAAGUAGCGUGCAGGAUGACGGCCCUAUGGGUUGUAAACUGCUUUUAUACAGGAAUAAAGUUAGCCACGUGUGGUUAUUUGUAGGUACUGUAUGAAUAAGGACCGGCUAAUUCCGUGCCAGCCGCCGCCGUAA